UAGGGAAUCUUCGGCAAUGGACGAAAGUCUGACCGAGCAACGCCGCGUGAGUGAAGAAGGUUUUCGGAUCGUAAAACUCUGUUGUUAGAGAAGAACAAGUACGUUAGUAACUGAACGUCCCCUGACGGUAUCUAACCAGAAAGCCACGGCUAACUACGUGCCAGCAGCCGCGGUAAUACGUAGGUGGCAAGCGUUGUCCGGAUUUAUUGGGCGUAAAGCGAGCGCAGGCGGUUUCUUAAGUCUGAUGUGAAAGCCCCCGGCUCAACCGGGGAGGGUCAUUGGAAACUGGGAGACUUGAGUGCAGAAGAGGAGAGUGGAAUUCCAUGUGUAGCGGUGAAAUGCGUAGAUAUAUGGAGGAACACCAGUGGCGAAGGCGGCUCUCUGGUCUGUAACUGACGCUGAGGCUCGAAAGCGUGGGGAGCAAACAGG
This 429-nucleotide ribosomal RNA is filed under the name Chloroflexota bacterium. Its description in RNAcentral is "Chloroflexi bacterium partial 16S ribosomal RNA". It matches the Rfam family "Bacterial small subunit ribosomal RNA", at positions 355 to 776 of the family's 1533-position model. Lineage: Bacteria; Bacillati; Chloroflexota. The record is from RNAcentral. RNAcentral also lists the same sequence under 1 other name.